UUUGUAGGAUGAAAAGGUG
Molecule: microRNA, 19 nt
Filed under: Ciona intestinalis (vase tunicate)
Lineage: Eukaryota; Metazoa; Chordata; Ascidiacea; Phlebobranchia; Cionidae
Description: cin-miR-4024-5p
Source: miRBase by way of RNAcentral